CCAAAAUAAAUAAAAUCUC
This 19-nucleotide small nuclear RNA is filed under the name Arabidopsis thaliana (thale cress). RNAcentral describes it as "snRNA_15167". The record is from RNAcentral. Lineage: Eukaryota; Viridiplantae; Streptophyta; Magnoliopsida; Brassicales; Brassicaceae.